RNAcentral lists this ribosomal RNA (579 nucleotides) under Botrytis cinerea. RNAcentral's name for it is "eukaryotic LSU rRNA". The stretch from base 216 to 369 matches the Rfam family "5.8S ribosomal RNA". Lineage: Eukaryota; Fungi; Ascomycota; Leotiomycetes; Helotiales; Sclerotiniaceae. The record is from RNAcentral.
CUUGGUCAUUUAGAGGAAGUAAAAGUCGUAACAAGGUUUCCGUAGGUGAACCUGCGGAAGGAUCAUUACAGAGUUCAUGCCCGAAAGGGUAGACCUCCCACCCUUGUGUAUUAUUACUUUGUUGCUUUGGCGAGCUGCCUUCGGGCCUUGUAUGCUCGCCAGAGAAUACCAAAACUCUUUUUAUUAAUGUCGUCUGAGUACUAUAUAAUAGUUAAAACUUUCAACAACGGAUCUCUUGGUUCUGGCAUCGAUGAAGAACGCAGCGAAAUGCGAUAAGUAAUGUGAAUUGCAGAAUUCAGUGAAUCAUCGAAUCUUUGAACGCACAUUGCGCCCCUUGGUAUUCCGGGGGGCAUGCCCGUUCGAGCGUCAUUUCAACCCUCAAGCUUAGCUUGGUAUUGAGUCUAUGUCAGUAAUGGCAGGCUCUAAAAUCAGUGGCGGCGCCGCUGGGUCCUAGAACGUAGUAAUUAUCUCUCGUUACAGGUUCUCGGUGUGCUUCUGCCAAAACCCAAAUUUUUCUAUGGUUGACCUCGGAUCAGGUAGGGAUACCCGCUGAACUUAAGCAUAUCAAUAAGCGGAGGA